UCUCGUUCAUAACAUUCAUUAAGCCAGAGGGUUUAAUCGCAAAGAUCUGUUAAUCCAUGGGUUCAACAAAAAAAAUAUAGGAACUUAUUUGUGACUAUGAGAAAACACAAGGGCUGAAGUGAAAACAGCCAAAGAGAUAAGGUUCUCUUCUUUUUCUCUCCGGAGUGGUUCCUGAUGUGGAUUUCUCCCAUAAGUGCCGCGACCACGGCGCCUCACGGCCGGUGACGGACAGUCGAGGACGGGAGGCGGCUCGGCGCGGCGUAUAGGAGAGGAGAGGCGGCGCGGUCAUGGCACCAGCGAGCGAGGGCGAGCGCAGCCAAGGCGCGCCUGCGGACGACGAGGCCACGACGCAGGCGGGCGAGGGCGAGCGCAGCCACCGUGCGAUUGCGGACGGUGAGGCCAUGACGCACGCGGCCACGGCUUGACGCUAUCGGCCACGGCGUGGGGCGGGCGGGGCCAGUCGCGGCCUGGUGCGGCCGGCCGCGUCUACGGCUUGGUGCGUGUGUGCGUCCGGGCGUUGAGGCCUGCUGCGUGCAUUCUUCAUUGACGCGUUUGAUCCUUUUGCAUGUUCCUCCUGAAUCGGGUUUGCUCUGGAUCAAGUUCGCUCUGUUCUUGAUAAGGAAAUACACAGUUCUUCGUCCUGUACUUCUUGUUUGCGAGUUAUUAGAUCUUAGAUUGAUUGCUAGAAAACAAAGACAAAUUGAACAAUCUCCUGAUGCAGUUUUCCUCUUUUACGAAUGUACGCAUGUCCAUGGAUUAUUUCUGUGGACUUCGUCGAGACCGAUCAAAUCUGCGGCGACGACAAGAAUUCUCUUCUCUCGUGUGGCCUUUUCUCAUGGGAGAACAGAAGUGCAUGAUAACGUGUAAAGAAUAAAAGAAAAGAAGAAGAGCAAAUGAUGGAACGAUUGCUUUCAUUGAUGAAUUUGUGGGUAUAUAUACCCUGGUACAAAGGUGGUUACAAAGGAGCGGUUCCCAAAAAUGGAACCGACAUAAGCAGGGAUUAACCCUUUAAUUAACAUAAUUAAUUAAUUCCUAACACAAACUACCACCCCUAAGGAACC
RNAcentral lists this long non-coding RNA (1061 nucleotides) under Hordeum vulgare. RNAcentral's name for it is "long non-coding RNA (HVUL_LNC016932)". Lineage: Eukaryota; Viridiplantae; Streptophyta; Magnoliopsida; Poales; Poaceae. The record is from RNAcentral.